UGAAGCGGCAACAGCUCAAAUUUGAAAUCUGGCCCCUAGGGCCCGAGUUGUAAUUUGCAGAGGAUGCUUUUGGCAAGGCGCCGCCCGAGUUCCCUGGAACGGGACGCCGCAGAGGGUGAGAGCCCCGUCUGGCUGGACGCCGAGCCUUUGUAAAGCUCCUUCGACGAGUCGAGUAGUUUGGGAAUGCUGCUCUAAAUGGGAGGUAUAUGUCUUCUAAAGCUAAAUAUUGGCCAGAGACCGAUAGCGCACAAGUAGAGUGAUCGAAAGAUGAAAAGCACUUUGAAAAGAGGGUUAAACAGUACGUGAAAUUGUUGAAAGGGAAGCGCUCAUGACCAGACUUGGGCUUGGCGGAUCAUCCGGCGUUCUCGCCGGUGCACUUCGCCUCGCCCAGGCCAGCAUCAGUUCGCCCCGGGGGACAAAAGCUUCGGGAAUGUGGCUCCUCCGGGAGUGUUAUAGCCCGUGGCACAAUACCCUGGGGCGGACUGAGGUUCGCGCGUCCGCAAGGAUGCUGGCGUAAUGGUCAUCAGCGACCCGUCUUGAAACACGGACCAAGGAGUCGUCCUCGUAUGCGAGUGUUCGGGUGUCAAACCCCUACGCGUAAUGAAAGUGAACGCAGGUGAGAGCUUCGGCGCAUCAUCGACCGAUCCUGAUGUUCUCGGAUGGAUUUGAGUAAGAGCAUACGGGGCCGGACCCGAAAGAAGGUGAACUAUGCCUGUAUAGGGUGAAGCCAGAGGAAACUCUGGUGGAGGCUCGCAGCGGUUCUGACGUGCAAAUCGAUCGUCAAAUAUG
RNAcentral lists this ribosomal RNA (789 nucleotides) under Hypomyces aurantius. RNAcentral's name for it is "eukaryotic LSU rRNA". It matches the Rfam family "Eukaryotic large subunit ribosomal RNA", at positions 94 to 913 of the family's 3401-position model. Lineage: Eukaryota; Fungi; Ascomycota; Sordariomycetes; Hypocreales; Hypocreaceae. The record is from RNAcentral.